This 396-nucleotide ribosomal RNA is filed under the name uncultured bacterium. RNAcentral describes it as "bacterial SSU rRNA". It matches the Rfam family "Bacterial small subunit ribosomal RNA", at positions 108 to 518 of the family's 1533-position model. The record is from RNAcentral.
GAGUAACACGUGAGCAACCUGCCUUGAGAGUGGAAUAGCGUUCUGGAAACGGAUGGUAAUAACCGCAUGAAAUUAUCUGACCGCAUGAUUGGAUAAUCAAAGAUUUAUCGCUCAAAGAUGGGCUCGCGUCUGAUUAGAUAGUUGGUGGGGUAACGGCCUACCAAGUCGACGAUCAGUAGCCGGACUGAGAGGUUGAACGGCCACAUUGGGACUGAGACACGGCCCAGACUCCUACGGGAGGCAGCAGUGGGGAAUAUUGCACAAUGGGCGGAAGGCCUGAUGCAGCCGAUGCCGCGUGGAGGAAGAAGGUUCUCGGAUUGUAAACUCCUGAUCUGAGGGACGAUAAUGACGGUACCUCAGGAGAAAGCUCCCGGCUAACUACGUGCCAGCCGCAGC